This is a long non-coding RNA of Pipistrellus kuhlii (Kuhl's pipistrelle), 2178 nucleotides long. RefSeq lists it as uncharacterized. The transcript is spliced from 3 exons. Lineage: Eukaryota; Metazoa; Chordata; Mammalia; Chiroptera; Vespertilionidae. The record is from RefSeq and is a predicted model, not a curated record.
UUUAGGACCCUUUCCAAAGGACUGUGCUUUGUGACCCGUGGCUGAGCAGGCAGCUGUGUGUACUCGCCAGGAGAAAAACCAGGCACUUCCCUGGGUCCCCACGGACGGCGGCGACCCGAGGCUGCCUCGUGGGGGUCACAUUCCAGACGUCCCCCAGCCAGUUAGGAACGCUGGGUCAGACACCCCUCGGCACAUGCGUGGGGAUGUUUGCCGUAUUGUGUAACUGCCUGUCCCCUAAGGACACCCACACCCCUCACUUCUCUCUCAUGAGGUGGUGAGAGGUCCUUCGAAAGACUCCCUGAGCAAAUAAACCAGCGCUGGGAGGUGUCCCGCAGGAAGUCAUGCAGAGCCGCUCGGUGCAACGUGAGAGCCUGGAGCGGGAACAGGACAUGAGGGGAAAACACAUGAAAUCCAAACAGCGUUCGUCAUUUCGGUAAUACCAUCGGGCUGAUGGGAAACUCUCAGUUUCGAUCAUUGCGCCAUGGCGAUCCGAGACGUCAACAUUAUGGGGAGAGGCACACGGGCCUCUGGGUUCCUUUUUGCAACUUUUCUUUAAUCUGAAGCUAUUUCACAGUGGAAGAGCUUAAAAAGGAGUUGCGCUAUUGAUGCUAUGACGCACAGCAGCUUUUGGCUUUGAUCUUCUCUCAGCCCUGCUAGGCAGCUGCGGGUCUCACUUUCAUCCCAAGGAAAUGAGUCUCCUGUGACCAGGCAGCCUCCCUAGGAGAUGGUUUAAGAGCAAACCACCCAGCAGAGACAACACUGACAGCAACAGAUCAGCAGCAGCCUCAGUGCACCUGGAAUAAUGAAUUCUGGGUCCCACAGCCUCAGGACAAGGUGGAAUGUUUACUAUGUGCUGACAACUGGUGGUUGUUGGCUCCAAGGCCAACAGAAUCCCCACCUUGGGGUGUGGUCAAGAAGGAAAACAAUUCAGUGCAAAACAGCUCAACUCUGAUACAGCAUGGCAGUGGGCAGCCCUGGGCCAGGCCCCCUCCAUUGGACAGCUCUGCUCUGCUUUGUUCUCUCAGCUCAGCCAGGGAAGCUCAGCCUCAGGUGGAAAAGGAACUAUGCUCUUAGAGCUGGCUGCUAUGAACACAAGUCCCCACCCUGUUCCCUGAUUGGUCUUGGCAUUUGUUACCUACUUAUGCUUCCAGUAGAAUUUUAGAAUCAAUUUUUCAAGUAAAAAAUUCUCUCACUUUAUUGAAUUGGGUUAAAUUUAACAUUUAGUCCGGAGACUUCACACCUCACUGAGCACACUUCCAGCCUCCUAUCCUGUGUAUAGAUCAUGCAUGUUUCUUGUUAAAGUUGCUGUCAGAUGUUCUGUGCAUUUUCUUCCAAAUGUGGACAGUCUACUAUAACAUUUUACAUGUGUACAUGUUACAUUUGUAUGUUUUGGACAGUCUGAAUCCCUCGCUCAGGGAGCAGCUGGCCUGACAUGCCUACCUGUGACUUAGGGAACAGGUCCUGGAGGACACAGCUGCUGGAGUGGGUGGUGGCCGGGAAGGUGCCUUGCUCCUGCGGGAUGCAGGCUCACAUGAGGAGGUAAAGGACAAUGGGGUGUGGAUACAUCUCAGCCCACUGCCUCUGGCGCACUCUCUACAGUCAGACACGCUGAGCCUGAGUAUCAGUCAGCUAAGGUUGCUGGGUAACAAAGUGCCACACACUGGGGGAUUCACACAACUGACAUUCACUGUCUCACAGUCCAGAGGCUGGAAGUCUGAGACCAGUGUCUGCAGGGUUGGUUUCUCCUGGGUAUGUAGACAGCCGUCUUCCCCAUGUGGUUGUUCUCUGUACAUGUCUGGGUCCAGAUCACUUCUUCUUGCAGGACACAGUCACAAUGGAGUAGGGUCUACCACUUCUGCAAAGGUGGAACUCCACAUACAGCUACGUUCUGAGAUCCUGGGGUUAUGACCCCAACACAUGAAUUGGGGGGCCCAGGUCAGCCUAUAACCUGCUCUAAAGGCUUUUGUGGCUCCCUUGAAUUAUCCACGGGUAAAUAAUAUCAUUUGCAAAUAAUGGUAAUUUCAUUUCUACUCUUCUAAUAUUCUUCUAAGAAAAAUUAUUUUGAAAAAGCCUUGUUAAUAAAGCAAAAUCGUGGCUGUUAUCCCUUCCAUGUCAUACUGGGCAGUGUCUAAUAGGCCCACCUGAGGGUUAUUUAGUUCUUUACAAAGCACAUCUAUG